UGGGGAAUAUUGCACAAUGGGCGCAAGCCUGAUGCAGCCAUGCCGCGUGUAUGAAGAAGGCCUUCGGGUUGUAAAGUACUUUCAGCGGGGAGGAAGGUGUUGUGGUUAAUAACCACAGCAAUUGACGUUACCCGCAGAAGAAGCACCGGCUAACUCCGUGCCAGCAGCCGCGGUAAUACGGAGGGUGCAAGCGUUAAUCUGAAUUACUGGGCGUAAAGCGCACGCAGGCGGUCUGUCAAGUCGGAUGUGAAAUCCCCGGGCUCAACCUGGGAACUGCAUCCGAAACUGGCAGGCUUGAGUCUUGUAGAGGGGGGUAGAAUUCCAGGUGUAGCGGUGAAAUGCGUAGAGAUCUGGAGGAAUACCGGUGGCGAAGGCGGCCCCCUGGACAAAGACUGACGCUCAGGUGCGAAAGCGUGGGGAGCAAACA
Molecule: ribosomal RNA, 427 nt
Filed under: uncultured bacterium
Lineage: Bacteria
Description: partial 16S ribosomal RNA
Rfam family: Bacterial small subunit ribosomal RNA
Source: RNAcentral